CCCUAAGCAGUAGUGGAGCUGAUCGAAGAUGGUGAAUCUUAUGUUCCCAAUACAGUGGAGAAGCAGAUUUAAGCCAUUAGUCCUACCACCCUAAGCAGUAGUCGGGUAGGUUAAAGAUUGCAGAUUCUGUCACCCUAAGCAGUAGUAAAGCAGAUCGAAGAUGGUGAAUCUUAUCUUCCCAAUACAGUGGAGAAGUAGAUUUAAGCCAAUAGUCCUAUCACCCUAAGCAGUAGUGGAGUAGGUUAAAGAUUACAGAUUCUGUCACCCUAAGCAGUAGUGGAGCAGAUCAAAUAUGACGAAUCUUACCUCCCAAUAUAGUGGAGAAGCAGAUUUAAGCCAUCAGUCCUAUCACCUUAAGCAGUAGUGGAGUAGGUUGAAGAAUUAUGAUUCUAUCACCCUAAGCAGUAGUGGAGCUGAUCGAAGAUUGUGAAUCUUAUGUUUCCAAUACAGUGGAGAAGCAGAUUUAAGCCAUUAGUCUACCACCCUAAGCAGUAGUCGGGUAGGUUGAAGAUUGCAGAUUCUGUCACCCUAAGCAGUAGUGGAGCGGAUCGAAGAUGGUGAAUCAUAUCUUCUCAAGAUAGUGGAGAAAUAGAUUUAAGCCAUUAGCCCAAUCUCCAUAAGCAGUAGUGGAGAAAGUUGAAGAUUGCAGACUCCGU
This 656-nucleotide long non-coding RNA is filed under the name Gossypium barbadense (sea-island cotton). Its description in RNAcentral is "long non-coding RNA (GBAR_LNC023600)". The record is from RNAcentral. Lineage: Eukaryota; Viridiplantae; Streptophyta; Magnoliopsida; Malvales; Malvaceae.